Molecule: ribosomal RNA, 202 nt
Filed under: uncultured bacterium
Lineage: Bacteria
Description: partial 16S ribosomal RNA
Rfam family: Bacterial small subunit ribosomal RNA
Source: RNAcentral
UGCAGUCUGCAACUCGACUGCAUGAAGCUGGAAUCGCUAGUAAUCGCGAAUCAGAAUGUCGCGGUGAAUACGUUCCCGGGCCUUGUACACACCGCCCGUCACACCAUGGGAGUUGGAAGCACCCGAAGUCGGUGACCUGACCGUAAGGAGGGAGCCGCCGAAGGUGAAGCCAGCGACUGGGGUGAAGUCGUAACAAGGUACC